Long non-coding RNA from Carassius gibelio (silver crucian carp), 353 nucleotides. RefSeq lists it as uncharacterized. Lineage: Eukaryota; Metazoa; Chordata; Actinopteri; Cypriniformes; Cyprinidae. The record is from RefSeq and is a predicted model, not a curated record. The transcript has 2 exons.
GUUCGUGUCUCAUGAGGAGCUUCUUGCGCUCUCUGAACGCCCGUCGGACCUUGUAGCCCUUGUAGAGAGCCUGGAUGGACGAGGCGGCGAUGUCCUGGAUGGCGGCGAUAGAUAGAGCUCCAUGCUCCAAUAGAAACUGGAUUCAAACCUGCUUCCAGAUCCUUAACCACCACUAUGCCACAUCUCAAGAACCAUGUACAUGCAUGAAUGUUCAUUACCUCUCCUCGGUGUGCUCCAUAUGGUUGGGAAAGGCUCCACACCCCAGGAGCAGCUUCACAGCAUCCAGAUAUCCGUUAUUACAGGACCAGUGGAGUGCGGUUCUCCCCUUAACAAAUAAACAUACUCAAAAGUCA